CCGAAGGAGAGAAACGUGAGGUUAGGUCGAGUUGUUGCGAAGAUCGGCGGCAUUGCAAGUUGGUUCGAUAUAAGGGAUGAAAAUUUUCUAGUUUGCUGCCGACGAAUGUUUAACGGUUCGCUCUAUGGUUACUUAACAAAGUAGAAGCACGGAGUGCAUAUCCGAGCUUCACGAGCCCCGCAAGAUGACAAUCGCUUCCAAGAUGACACCGAUGAAUUCGUACUCGAGUGAGGAUUUUGAGUGAGAGAGAAUGGAGAUCCUGAGCCUUAUAUGUGAUUUUGAGCUACUAUGCCUGCACUGCUAUGACUGCAAAUAACGAGGGACUGACGGGUUCCGAGGUUCAUUACAAAUCAAUUUGGACCGUGUACAAUGAAGAACGAACGCAAUGCGUGCGAUGAAGGAAAGGUUUCGUCCACUGAAACAGGCCUUUGGUCCCACUGCCCGGCAGCGCGGAGAACUCGCGCAAAAAUGCCGCCUUUGAUCACGUAUCGCCGUAAAAGCGUCGACCUCACAAGUCGACAACGCGAUCCGUCCUUGCUUCCGUUUUUCACGCGUUUUCGCGCCUCGCGGAUUUCUAUCGCAACGUUUACCGCGUCCGCUUGCGGAACACUUACGACAUGAAACGCGCCGGCGUAGCAGGAUGGGAAAUUCCUAUCUUUGAUCACCGGAGUCGAAGUCAACGUCGAGGUCUCUUUGUACGAAAUCGAUCUUUCAACGAUAUUUCCCGACAUUUUCCCGAAUUAUGCCUUCAUUCUCGGUACACUCAUUUCUCUAUUUCUCGCUCGUCUCUAUUUUGCCUAUUUCGCAUUGCCUAUUUCGCGCGUCUCUUUAUCUCUAUUCUCUUUUAUAAUCUCUCUAAUUCUGUACUGUCAAGACGAAUAAUGUUUACGUAUCGAAGCGAUGCGAUAAGAUAAUCCAUCUACACACAGCUUACACCGAAAAGAAAAUAUGUGAGUAGAAUUAUCAACAUAUCGAAAAUCCCUUCUAUAUCCGACCAAGUCGGCUCGACUUUUCGAUCUGUGGGUUGACUUAUCGCUCUUUACCUAGUUUAUCGAAUUUUAUAUUGUGUUCUCAAAUAUGUGUAUAAUACGUAUGUUUGGAGAUUCAUGAUCUUACUCAUA
Molecule: long non-coding RNA, 1121 nt
Organism: Harpegnathos saltator (Jerdon's jumping ant)
Lineage: Eukaryota; Metazoa; Arthropoda; Insecta; Hymenoptera; Formicidae
Exons: 3
Source: RefSeq, a predicted model, not a curated record